UGGGAAGUGAGGAGCGUCUCCGCCCGGC
RNAcentral lists this non-coding RNA (28 nucleotides) under Homo sapiens (human). The record is from RNAcentral. Lineage: Eukaryota; Metazoa; Chordata; Mammalia; Primates; Hominidae.